UGAGGAAUUUUUGGACAAUGGGCGAAAGCCUGAUCCAGCAAUGCCGCGUGUGUGAAGAAGGCCUUCGGGUUGUAAAGCACUUUUGUCCGGAAAGAAAUCCUUGGCUCUAAUACAGUCGGGGGAUGACGGUACCGGAAGAAUAAGCACCGGCUAACUACGUGCCAGCAGCCGCGGUAAUACGUAGGGUGCAAGCGUUAAUCGGAAUUACUGGGCGUAAAGCGUGCGCAGGCGGUUUGCUAAGACCGAUGUGAAAUCCCCGGGCUCAACCUGGGAACUGCAUUGGUGACUGGCAGGCUAGAGUAUGGCAGGAGGGGGGUAGAAUUCCACGUGUAGCAGUGAAAUGCGUAGAGAUGUGGAGGAAUACCGAUGGCGAAGGCAGCCCCCUGGGCCAAUACUGACGCUCAUGCACGAAAGCGUGGGGAGCAAACAGGAUUAGAUACCCUGGUAGUCCACGCCCUAAACGAUGUCAACUAGUUGUUGGGGAUUCAUUUCCUUAGUAACGUAGCUAACGCGUGAAGUUGACCGCCUGGGGAGUACGGUCGCAA
Molecule: ribosomal RNA, 545 nt
Filed under: uncultured bacterium
Lineage: Bacteria
Description: partial 16S ribosomal RNA
Rfam family: Bacterial small subunit ribosomal RNA
Source: RNAcentral